Molecule: ribosomal RNA, 252 nt
Filed under: uncultured bacterium
Lineage: Bacteria
Description: partial 16S ribosomal RNA
Rfam family: Bacterial small subunit ribosomal RNA
Source: RNAcentral
UACGUAGGUCCCGAGCGUUGUCCGGAUUUAUUGGGCGUAAAGCGAGCGCAGGUGGUUUAUUAAGUCUGGUGUAAAAGGCAGUGGCUCAACCAUUGUAUGCAUUGGAAACUGGUAGACUUGAGUGCAGGAGAGAAGAGUGGAAUUCCAUGUGUAGCAGUGGAAUGCGUAGAUAUAUGGAGGAACACCGGUGGCGAAAGCGGCUCUCUGGCCUGUAACUGACACUGAGGCUCGAAAGCAUGGGGAGCAAACAGG